Vigna radiata var. radiata (mung bean) is the source of this 3221-nucleotide RNA transcript. It is a transcript of the gene named casein kinase 1-like protein HD16, with no coding region annotated. Lineage: Eukaryota; Viridiplantae; Streptophyta; Magnoliopsida; Fabales; Fabaceae. The transcript has 19 exons. The record is from RefSeq and is a predicted model, not a curated record.
UUUUAAAAAUUAGGAAAAAUGAAUAACAAAUCUCUAUCCAUGUUUCUCCGUAUCUGUACUUGAAAUCUAGAACUGCAGAGAAUCCUUUCAUUUUUGUUUCCCUCCACAGAUCUCUAAACUUCAUUCUCAUCAAACCCUAAUUUCGGGUUGAUUCUAACUCCCUCGUUAUUUAUUCAUCACCCAACCCGUUUUUCUGAUUUUCUGCUAUCAAUUCUUCUAUUUAAACUUUAAAAUCUGGUCUGAUCGAUGAUUCUGGAACCUUCAUGAGUUUCCCUCUUCGUCAUGGGCCACUACCAUCCUUACCAUGCCUGAGCUGCGUACCCGAACUCGAAGAAACCGACUCGUAGACAACGCAAACGUUAUCCCGAUCAUUCAGCCAGCCUCGCCGGCGACCGCCAGAGCUCGACGGAGGAAGACAUCCGCCGCGCCUGCCCGAACGCGGAGGAAUCGGAGUCAGAACAAUGCGAUCGCCGCCGCCGAUGAAGUCGUGAACGAUUACGCUGGUGCUGCUUGCGGAGCCAGAAAUAGAAAUAGAAAUUUAAAAUACAAGCUAGGAGAGAAAGAGAAUAACAAUAAUAAAAUUUCGGCUAGGGUUUUUGAAGAGGAAGACAUGGAUGAAGACGAUAGUCGUGGCCGUAGCGCAGAUAAGGCUCCGGGAGCUGAAGAUGAAGGCAGCACUGCUCCUCUUCCGGAGAAGGUUCAAGUUGGUGGUUCUCCUUUGUAUAGAAUUGAGAGAAAACUUGGGAAGGGAGGAUUUGGGCAAGUCUAUGUUGGUCGGCGGAUAGGAGUUACGAAUUCUAGCGAACGGACUGGUGCCGGUGCUGUUGAGGUAGCUUUAAAAUUUGAACAUAGAAGCAGCAAGGGGUGCAACUAUGGACCGCCAUACGAGUGGCAGGUUUACAAUGCAUUAGGCGGUAGUCAUGGUGUUCCACGAGUACAUUUCAAGGGACGGCAAGGUGACUACUAUAUUAUGGUAAUGGAUAUGCUUGGUCCCAGUCUGUGGGAUGUUUGGAAUAACAACUCUCACACCAUGUCUACUGAAAUGGUAGCAUGUAUUGCAAUUGAGGCUAUCUCCAUAUUAGAGAAGAUGCAUUCUAGAGGAUAUGUGCAUGGUGAUGUAAAGCCUGAGAAUUUUUUGCUUGGACCCCCUGGAACUCCAGAUGAAAAGAAGUUGUUUCUUGUUGAUCUUGGGUUAGCAACUCGGUGGCGUGAUAAUUCGACUGGCCUUCAUGUUGAAUACGAUCAGCGUCCAGAUGUUUUUAGGGGCACAGUUCGUUAUGCUAGUGUGCAUGCUCAUCUUGGUAGAACAGGUAGCAGGAGAGAUGACUUGGAAUCUCUUGCUUAUACUCUUGUGUUCCUUCUUCGGGGUCGGCUUCCCUGGCAAGGAUAUCAGGGGGAAAAUAAAGGGUUUCUUGUCUGCAAAAAAAAGAUGGCCACCUCUCCAGAAACAUUGUGUUGCUUUUGUCCUCAACCUUUCCGGCAGUUUGUUGAAUAUGUAGUGAAUUUGAAGUUUGAUGAAGAACCAAAUUAUGCAAAAUAUAUAUCCCUCUUUGAUGGAAUCGUGGGCCCAAAUCCAGAUAUCAGGCCAAUAAACACCGAGGGUGCUCAGAAGCUUAUAUGUCAGGUUGGCCAUAAGAGGGGGCGUUUGACCAUGGAAGAUGAUGACGAUGAACAGCCUAAAAAAAAGGUUCGAAUGGGAAUGCCUGCUACACAAUGGAUUAGUGUUUACAAUGCUCGUCGACCAAUGAAGCAAAGGUAUCAUUAUAAUGUCGCCGAUGUGCGGUUAGCCCAACACAUUGAUAAAGGGAAUGAAGAUGGUUUAUUUAUCAGCAGUGUGGCUUCUUGUACUAAUCUUUGGGCACUCAUUAUGGAUGCUGGCACUGGUUUCACUGCACAAGUUUAUGAACUCUCUUCCUGCUUUCUUCAUAAGGAAUGGAUUAUGGAACAAUGGGAAAAUAAUUAUUACAUUAGUGCCAUAGCCGGAGCUCAUAAUGGAUGCUCAUUGGUUGUAAUGUCUAAAGGUACCCAGUACGUACAGCAAUCCUAUAAAGUCAGUGAUUCGUUUCCAUUUAAGUGGAUCAACAAAAAAUGGAGAGAAGGAUUUUAUGUAACUGCUAUGGCCACUGCUGGCACUAGAUGGGCAAUUGUUAUGUCACGUGGGGCUGGUUAUUCUGAUCAGGUUGUGGAACUUGAUUUCUUGUAUCCCAGUGAAGGUAUUCAUCGAAGGUGGGAUAAUGGUUAUCGCAUCACCUCAACUGCUGCAACACGGGACCAGGCUGCUUUUGUUCUUAGUGUCCCAAGAAGAAAACCAACUGAUGAAACUCAGGAGACACUCCGAACAUCUGCUUUUCCUAGCGCUCAUGUUAAGGAUAAAUGGGCAAAGAAUCUCUAUAUUGCAUCUAUUUGCUAUGGGAGAACAGUGUCAUAACCUGCUGAAAUUGAGAUUUCUGGCUGAAUUCUGAUCACUGGCACAAACCUGCUUCCUCUUACUUCUAGUUGGGAACUGAAGAUGCUUUCUGACCAAUUUUCUGAACAAUGCAGUUCAGUAUUAAUCUAUCUAAGCAUCUUCUCAGUUACUAGAUGUUUCAAAUAUUUGCCACUUAUUUGUGUAGGUAAUGGUGAGGAUAAAUUUUUACUACUGUUAUUCUAAUUACUUCUUUUGAUUUCCGAAGUCCACAUGAUGGGCUUCUCCUGGUCAAUUGUUCUAUAUGACUGGGUGAUCAUUUUAUUGUUCUAACAACAAACAUUGCAAGGUGAACACUUCGCUCUCUUGAGAAUGUAGCUUUCACGGAAGCACAUUUUGGAAGAUAACUUCUCUCCCCCUUCAAUACUGAUCUGUAUAUUUACCGAGUUACUUAGACACUUGAAGCAGAUUUUGGUUGGUCCUUGCAAUGUUAUGUUGUCAGAGCAACCUAUAUGGUCGAGGAAAUCAGAAGCUGUUCAAGAAACUGGUUUUUUUGGAACUAUUUGCUGUGUUCUUCGGCUAUUCAACAAACUGAAAGGCAAAAGUUCAAAUUGAUGUCUAAAUUCAUGCGACUUUUGAUUCUGGUAUUGGAAAAGCGGUGAAUUAUUGCAGUAUAGAGAGUGUGAAGUUGGGGAUCUAUUGCCUGCUAAUCAUUGUAUUUUGGAAGAUAAACUGUGUAGUAGUUAAGUAACUGAUAAUGAUAUGGAUAAUGUAUAAUAAACUUUGUAGUUAGUCAUAAUUAUAAUUGAUGGGUAAA